AGAGUUUGAUCCUGGCUCAGGAUGAACGCUAGCGGCAGGCUUAACACAUGCAAGNAGAGGGGUAGAAGCAGCUUGCUGCUUUGAGACCGGCGCACGGGUGCGUAACGCGUAUACAAUCUACCUUUUACAGAGGGAUAGCCCAGAGAAAUUUGGAUUAAUACCUCAUAGUAUUUUCGAAUCGCAUGAUUUGAUUAUUAAAGUUCCAACGGUAAAAGAUGAGUAUGCGUCCCAUUAGCUAGAUGGUAAGGUAACGGCUUACCAUGGCAACGAUGGGUAGGGGUCCUGAGAGGGAGAUCCCCCACACUGGUACUGAGACACGGACCAGACUCCUACGGGAGGCAGCAGUGAGGAAUAUUGGACAAUGGGCGCAAGCCUGAUCCAGCCAUGCCGCGUGCAGGAAGACGGUCCUAUGGAUUGUAAACUGCUUUUAUACAGGAAGAAACACACCCUCGUGAGGGUACUUGACGGUACUGUAUGAAUAAGCAUCGGCUAACUCCGUGCCAGCAGCCGCGGUAAUACGGAGGAUGCAAGCGUUAUCCGGAAUCAUUGGGUUUAAAGGGUCCGUAGGCGGCCAAAUAAGUCAGUGGUGAAAGCCCAUCGCUCAACGAUGGAACGGCCAUUGAUACUGUUUGGCUUGAAUUAUUAGGAAGUAACUAGAAUAUGUAGUGUAGCGGUGAAAUGCUUAGAGAUUACAUGGAAUACCAAUUGCGAAGGCAGGUUACUACUAAUAUAUUGACGCUGAUGGACGAAAGCGUGGGGAGCGAACAGGAUUAGAUACCCUGGUAGUCCACGCCGUAAACGAUGGAUACUAGCUGUUCGGAGCAAUCUGAGUGGCUAAGCGAAAGUGAUAAGUAUCCCACCUGGGGAGUACGUUCGCAAGAAUGAAACUCAAAGGAAUUGACGGGGGCCCGCACAAGCGGUGGAGCAUG
Molecule: ribosomal RNA, 929 nt
Filed under: uncultured bacterium
Lineage: Bacteria
Description: bacterial SSU rRNA
Rfam family: Bacterial small subunit ribosomal RNA
Source: RNAcentral